Molecule: ribosomal RNA, 1706 nt
Filed under: Acinetobacter baumannii CI77
Lineage: Bacteria; Pseudomonadati; Pseudomonadota; Gammaproteobacteria; Moraxellales; Moraxellaceae
Description: bacterial LSU rRNA
Rfam family: Bacterial large subunit ribosomal RNA
Source: RNAcentral
UCUGUAAGCCGAUGAAGGUGUAUUGAGAAGUAUGCUGGAGGUAUCAGAAGUGCGAAUGCUGACGUGAGUAACGACAAAACGGGUGAAAAACCCGUUCGCCGAAAGACCAAGGGUUCCAGUCCAACGUUAAUCGGGGCUGGGUGAGUCGACCCCUAAGGCGAGGCCGAAAGGCGUAGUCGAUGGGAAAAUGGUUAAUAUUCCAUUACUUCUGUGUAAUGCGAUGAGAGGACGGAGAAGGCUAAAUCAGCCUGGCGUUGGUUGUCCAGGUGAAAGGAUGUAGGCAUGUAUCUUAGGCAAAUCCGGGGUACUCUAUGCUGAGAUCUGAUAGCAAGCUGUACUUGUACAGCGAAGUGGUUGAUGCCAUGCUUCCAGGAAAAGUCUCUAAGCUUCAGUUACACAGGAAUCGUACCCGAAACCGACACAGGUGGUCAGGUCGAGUAGACCAAGGCGCUUGAGAGAACUCUGCUGAAGGAACUAGGCAAAAUGGUACCGUAACUUCGGGAGAAGGUACGCUGUUGUUGGUGAUGGAACUCGCUUCCUGAGCUGACGACAGCCGCAGAAACCAGGCCGCUGCAACUGUUUAUUAAAAACAUAGCACUCUGCAAACACGAAAGUGGACGUAUAGGGUGUGAUGCCUGCCCGGUGCUGGAAGGUUAAUUGAUGGGGUUAGCGUAAGCGAAGCUCUUGAUCGAAGCCCCAGUAAACGGCGGCCGUAACUAUAACGGUCCUAAGGUAGCGAAAUUCCUUGUCGGGUAAGUUCCGACCUGCACGAAUGGCAUAAUGAUGGCGGCGCUGUCUCCAGCAGAGGCUCAGUGAAAUCGAAAUCGCUGUGAAGAUGCAGUGUACCCGCGGCUAGACGGAAAGACCCCGUGAACCUUUACUGCAGCUUGACACUGAACUUUGACCUUACUUGUGUAGGAUAGGUGGGAGGCUUUGAAGCUGGAACGCUAGUUCCAGUGGAGCCGUCCUUGAAAUACCACCCUGGUAAUGUUGAGGUUCUAACUCUGUCCCGUGAUCCGGGACGAGGACCGUGUCUGGUGGGUAGUUUGACUGGGGCGGUCUCCUCCUAAAGAGUAACGGAGGAGUACGAAGGUGCGCUCAGCGUGGUCGGAAAUCACGCGUAGAGUAUAAAGGCAAAAGCGCGCUUAACUGCGAGACCCACAAGUCGAGCAGGUACGAAAGUAGGUCUUAGUGAUCCGGUGGUUCUGUAUGGAAGGGCCAUCGCUCAACGGAUAAAAGGUACUCUGGGGAUAACAGGCUGAUACCGCCCAAGAGUUCAUAUCGACGGCGGUGUUUGGCACCUCGAUGUCGGCUCAUCUCAUCCUGGGGCUGAAGCAGGUCCCAAGGGUAUGGCUGUUCGCCAUUUAAAGAGGUACGCGAGCUGGGUUUAGAACGUCGUGAGACAGUUCGGUCCCUAUCUACCGUGGGCGCUGGAAAUUUGAGAGGAUCUGCUCCUAGUACGAGAGGACCAGAGUGGACGAACCUCUGGUGUACCGGUUGUGACGCCAGUCGCAUCGCCGGGUAGCUAUGUUCGGAAGGGAUAACCGCUGAAAGCAUCUAAGCGGGAAGCCUACCUCAAGAUAAGAUUUCCCUAGGACUUUAUGUCCUCUAAAGAGCCGUUCGAGACUAGGACGUUGAUAGGUUGGAUGUGGAAGCAUAGUGAUAUGUGAAGCUGACCAAUACUAAUUGCUCGUGAGGCUUGACUA